This 253-nucleotide ribosomal RNA is filed under the name uncultured bacterium. RNAcentral's name for it is "partial 16S ribosomal RNA". It matches the Rfam family "Bacterial small subunit ribosomal RNA", at positions 524 to 776 of the family's 1533-position model. The record is from RNAcentral.
UACGUAGGGGGCUAGCGUUGUCCGGAAUUACUAGGCGUAAAGGGCGCGUAGGCGGCACGGCAAGUCAGGAGUGAAAGCCCUGGGCUCAACCCGGGAACUGCUUUUGAAACUGCCGAGCUAGAGUGCGGAAGGGGCAACUGGAAUUCCCAGUGUAGCGGUGAAAUGCGUAGAUAUUGGGAAGAACACCUGAGGCGAAGGCGGGUUGCUGGGCCGACACUGACGCUGAGGCGCGAAAGCCAGGGGAGCGAACGGG